RNAcentral lists this ribosomal RNA (305 nucleotides) under uncultured bacterium. Its description in RNAcentral is "bacterial SSU rRNA". It matches the Rfam family "Bacterial small subunit ribosomal RNA", at positions 335 to 657 of the family's 1533-position model. The record is from RNAcentral.
AACCCUACGGGACGCAGCAGUGGGGAAUAUUGCACAAUGGGGGAAACCCUGAUGCAGCGACGCCGCGUGAGCGAUGAAGUAUUUCGGUAUGUAAAGCUCUAUCAGCAGGGAAGAAAAUGACGGUACCUGACUAAGAAGCCCCGGCUAACUACGUGCCAGCAGCCGCGGUAAUACGUAGGGGGCAAGCGUUAUCCGGAUUUACUGGGUGUAAAGGGAGCGUAGGCGGAAAGGCAAGUCAGAAGUGAAAACCCAAGGCUCAACCAUGGGACUGCUUUUGAAACUGUCAAACUAGAUUACAGGAGAGG